This 496-nucleotide ribosomal RNA is filed under the name uncultured bacterium. Its description in RNAcentral is "partial 16S ribosomal RNA". It matches the Rfam family "Bacterial small subunit ribosomal RNA", at positions 28 to 506 of the family's 1533-position model. The record is from RNAcentral.
GAUGAACGCUGGCGGCGUGCCUAAUACAUGCAAGUCGAGCGAACAGAUGAGGAGCUUGCUCCUCUGACGUUAGCGGCGGACGGGUGAGUAACACGUGGAUAACCUACCUAUAAGACUGGGAUAACUUCGGGAAACCGGAGCUAAUACCGGAUAAUAUAUUGAACCGCAUGGUUCAAUAGUGAAAGACGGUUUUGCUGUCACUUAUAGAUGGAUCCGCGCCGCAUUAGCUAGUUGGUAAGGUAACGGCUUACCAAGGCAACGAUGCGUAGCCGACCUGAGAGGGUGAUCGGCCACACUGGAACUGAGACACGGUCCAGACUCCUACGGGAGGCAGCAGUAGGGAAUCUUCCGCAAUGGGCGAAAGCCUGACGGAGCAACGCCGCGUGAGUGAUGAAGGUCUUCGGAUCGUAAAACUCUGUUAUUAGGGAAGAACAAAUGUGUAAGUAACUAUGCACGUCUUGACGGUACCUAAUCAGAAAGCCACGGCUAAUUACGU